RNAcentral lists this ribosomal RNA (468 nucleotides) under uncultured bacterium. RNAcentral's name for it is "partial 16S ribosomal RNA". It matches the Rfam family "Bacterial small subunit ribosomal RNA", at positions 28 to 507 of the family's 1533-position model. The record is from RNAcentral.
GACGAACGCUGGCGGCGUGCUUAACACAUGCAAGUCGAACGGAAAGGCCCUGCUUUUGUGGGGUGCUCGAGUGGCGAACGGGUGAGUAACACGUGAGUAACCUGCCCUUGACUGUGGGAUAACUUCAGGAAACUGGGGCUAAUACCGGAUAGGAGCUCCUGCUGCAUGGGGGGGGUUGGAAAGUUUCGGCGGUUGGGGAUGGACUAGCGGCUUAUCAGCUUGUUGGUGGGGUAGUGGCUUUCCAAGGCUUUGACGGGUAGCCGGCCUUGGAGGGUUACCGGCCACCUUGCGCCUGCGGUACGGCCCAGAAUCCUACGGUAGGCAGCAGUGGGGAACAUUGCACAAUGGGCGGACGCCUGAUGCAGAAACGCCGCGUGCGGGAUGCCGGCCUUCGGGUUGUAAACCGCUUUCGCCUGUGACGAAGCGUGAGUGACGGUAAUGGGUAAAGAAGCACCGGCUAACUACGUG